Molecule: long non-coding RNA, 4154 nt
Filed under: Homo sapiens (human)
Lineage: Eukaryota; Metazoa; Chordata; Mammalia; Primates; Hominidae
Description: non-protein coding lnc-SAP30-2:1
Source: RNAcentral
CCAGGAUUACAGGCGUGAGCCUCCCGGCCUGGCCCUGUUCUUUUAAAAAUAGCCGAUCUAACUUCACACUACUACCAAAAGCCAGAUCUGUCCCCAAGCUCUUUCUUCCCACAUCUCCCCUACCUGCUUGAAAGGGGGUGUUAAGACCUCCUCCACACCUGAGCGCCCCCACCCUGUGGCCGCCACCACCAGAACCACCAUCAACUCUGGAGGCCGAUCUGAGGAGAGAAGAGAAGCCAACAACCCCGCAGGAUGAGAGAGCAAUCUCUUUUGUAUCACAGACCCUCCGGAGCAGUUGCGGGAGGGCUGGCUGGGUGCAUGGAAGUAUUUAGCAGGUUCAGUGCCAUUACUGCCUAACAGGGUGUGAAAAGUAAUAUGAAUGUGAAAUACUGUGGGAAAACGGAGAGUUUCCAAAGCAGGCAGCGAGGCCCCUCCGCUGGUGGGCCUGGAAGGCCAGAAUCCCUGCUGCCCCGAGUGCGGCUCCCGGAGGCGCUGCUACUGGCCGAGGACUGCAGAGGGAAUGUCGGGGAGGGGGAGAUGGAUGGAGGGUGAGAUGGGUGGAGGGUGCAGUCCGCCCUGAGAAGAGAGGGAGGGGCAAGCUGGCAGUGCCUGGGAAAAGCCCGAGAAAAGCCCUGUCGGCUCCCUCUUCCUGGCUGCUAAAGUUGACACAAGACGGCUUCUUGGAACUCCCCCUCCUCCCGCCUAAAUGUACAGAGCAAGACUUGAAGUCAAAAGAUAGAUAGCGAUCGUGCUGAAAGUCAGGUGGAAAACAAGACUGCUAAUUUUAUGAAACAACCUAUCAACCCACUGGGAAGAGAUGACAAGAGGUACAUGGGCGCUUCUGCAGGAGGUGGAGGUGGAGGUGAAAUGCCGAGGUUCUAGACUGAUGUAAAUUUCUCCAACUAACUCCAGAUCGAGAGCCUACAAAUCCGACAAAUAUGCCCACACUUUGACAGUAACCGCCUCCCAGCACGCCCCACCACCGCCAACACACAUGGAGGGGUUUGAACUUUUCCACCUUCCGGACCUCUGCAGUCCGUCGCAGGACGCCCAAACCACAGGCCGGACACAGAUGAAGCCAGACCACAGCCCCCGCCCCAGCCACCGCGGUAGGUGGGUGCCCAAGAGACUUCUCAGGCCUAAGGAAAGCAGCCGAUGGCUCCCAAGACAACUCUGUCCGGCCAGUACUCCAGGGCAACUUCAACCCCACUAGGACCCAGGCCAAAACCAUAUAUAUAUAUAUAUAUAUAUAAAUUAACGCAAAACAGAGCCACUUUGGUGCCUACCCCUCCACAAGUAGGUAGGCACAUCCAGGUAGCUCUGUCAGAAGAUGGGACCUGGCGCCUUGCAGGGGUAGCCCUAUGGAGAUCCAGAAGCCCCGUUUCGAGCUACGAAGUCUCUCUUCUACUGCAGUCUUCUCUCCAACGUGGAGAUCUAGCAACUUCCCUCCCCCUGGGAUUCCCUGUGAAUCCACUCUAGUUGGGAUAUAGCCUCUCUACAGCUCAGUGACGUAGCGCGCCAAAACCAAGUACCCACCCCGGCAACUGGAAGACCUAGCUGUCCUCCAUCCCGCCUCCGCAGUCGAUAAUCUCCAGGAUCCAAGCAAAGUGCCUGUCCACGUUGUCACCAGAUCCACAAGCGCUUUUGAUGAGAGCUGCUACCCUUUUGGAAACACGAUUCCCUCUCCCUAGUAGAGAAGAAUCUAUUCUUCUGGGCUGGCGUAGACAAAGAAUAACCAAGAUAAAGUAUGUGGUGUGAAAAUAUCAGCUGCCUCUUCUUUUUUUGUUUUUGAAACGGAGUCUCGCUCUGUCUCCUAGGGUGGAGUGCAGUGGCACUAUCUCUGCUCACUGCAACUUCCGCCUCCUGGAUUCAAGCGAUUCUCCUACCUCAGCCUCUGGAGUAGCUGGGACUAUAGGCGCCCGCCACCACGCCCGGCUAAUUUUUUGUAUAUUUAGUAGAGACGGGGUGGGGGGGUGUUUCACCAUGUUGGCCAGGCUGGUCACGAACUCCUGACCUCAAAUGAUCGGCCCACCUCGACCUCCCAAAGUGCUGGGAUUACAGGCGUGAGCCACCGCGCGCCGGGUGGAAAACAUUAGCUUCUAAUAGCAGUCUUGGAGUGGAGUGAAGACGUUCAGGAAGUGGUGGAGAUAGGCCUGCUCAAUUAACCGGCCCCAGAUAUCAUUUCUCUGGCUACCUCUUUUCUCGCCUGGCCUGGCCCUCUAUACCGUUUUUUGUUUGUUUGUUUUGUUUUGUUUUUUUUCUGCAAAACGUUUUCUGCUGCAACUUUCUCUUUAUUUAUGCCUUUAUCUUUCUUAAACAAGAGGUCCCUGGAAAUAACUAACUAAGGAGGGGAGAGGAACCCCCUCACCCCCAAUUUCAUGAAUGAGUGCUACAUUCAUGCUGGCCGGGUACCAAGAGCAUCUUUAGAUCUUUAGACCUGAGUCUUCUCAUCUGUGAAAAAGAGGUUAAAGCAGAUGAACCCUAAAGGCCCAUUUCCAGUCUUAAAUUCAACACUUUCAAGACAAAACUUUUCUUCUGUAUUCCUGAGUGUGUAUAUAUAUGUUAUGUAAUAUAUAUUAUAAUGUAUAUAUAUAAACUUGGCUUAGUAAUGUUCUGUGCUGAGAUGCAGAUGAGGAGGACAUUUUAAACUUCUAAGGGUGCCCUCCCUCUGGUUGUUUCCUCCCAGACGAGCAUUCUUUGUGGAACAGAAAGAGAUCCUCAGGGUGGAAAGCACCAGAGGCAGGUCUCCUGAAUACGGUGCUGUCCAAGUCUACUCAUGGUCACAUGAUUCAUUAGGACUGUAAAUCCUCAUCAGAACACAAGCAUCAGACUCUCUGACCCUGCCAAUUCAAGUACUAAUGGUAAAAUCGUCCAAGAGGCUGGCCAACAUAUGCACACAUUAAUUAGAGUUAUGUGGGCCUUUGGCUUCCAGUCUGAUGAACAGCUCCAGGGAUGCAGGGGGCAGAGGGUUUGGGGUCCUUUUCACCCAGCAGAUGCCCUUUGGUCCUGAGAGGGCAUUAGUCCAAUACAGUGGGUGAUCUGAAAGCUAACCCCUUUCAGAGGAUGGCUUAACCUCAGCAACUAGGCUAAAACCUAGCAGUGGGUCCCUAAGAGGGACAGGGGAAAAAAAUCUGUUCAGAGGAAAUGAGAAUCAGCAGUAAGCUUUUGUUGUUAUUACUUCAUCUUGUAUUAUUAUGAGACAGGAGUGGGGAGAAGCCCAAGGUGAAAGAAGAGAAAUUUUUGGUAUGCAUGGAAGACGUGGAUACUUAGCAACCCUCUCCCCUGGCACUCAAGUGCACACGCAGAGAAAGUAAUUGCUAUAUUCCAUCUAGAAGCUGAAAAUGCUUUCAACACCAUUUACAAGGAUAAGGGAAGGAGCAGCUGAGGGGAGCAUGGGUUUGAUUCAACUUAACUGCAAUUCUGGCCAGGUACCACAAGUCACAGAGCAUCCCAGAGAGCAGAAUCCCAGAGAGUGUCCCCCAUCCCUGGCAAGGGACACUAUGCAUGGCACUUUUCCUACAAGAUGUGUCCUUUUCUCCAUCCAUAUCUAACUCCUAUGUGGAGGAGAGUCAAGGUCACUCACAGUCUCUAUUAGACUUGGGGAGCAAGACCCCUCAGCCUCUCCAAGGGUCACAUUGAUGUAAAUGAAGGUGUCAUCCGCUCUUGUAGGGAACAGUCACCUCUGGCUUUACCUUCAUGCCUUUUUGAAUUGUAAAGGGCAAAAUGCCUGGAGUCUAUCAAGUCUACACAUAGUUAUUAUACUGCAAAAUUUGUCUCAAUUGUUUUGUGAUAAAUGUGUAUUUCCCAAUCCCCCACCUCCUUCCAUUAUAACCCAUAUGAACCAUCUAUGGACUAGAACAUAGCAAAAAACCUCUCUAUGGUAGGAGAAAAUGUAUUUAUUACUUAUAUGAUGCAAACAAUGUAGACCUUUUCAUUUUGAGUUGGAGAGAGGGGACACACAAAAAUUGAGAAGCCACAUUCCCACAAUUCUAGGCAGAAUUUGAUCUCACUUUUUUACUUCUUUUAUUUCUCUUUCUCCCUUUUUUCUUAUUCUUUGUCCUCAUCCACAGAGAAAAGACAAUCCAAUCUGGAGUCCUAGGGAUUGAUUAUUCCACAUUUGUCCCUAUCUUCUCUUUCCCAAGAGAAGAUCCCUU